RNAcentral lists this ribosomal RNA (253 nucleotides) under uncultured bacterium. RNAcentral's name for it is "partial 16S ribosomal RNA". It matches the Rfam family "Bacterial small subunit ribosomal RNA", at positions 524 to 776 of the family's 1533-position model. The record is from RNAcentral.
UACGUAGGGGGCAAGCGUUGUCCGGAAUCAUUGGGCGUAAAGCGCGUGUAGGCGGCUCGAUAAGUCUGCUGUGAAAGUCCAGGGCUCAACCCUGGGAUGCCGGUGGAUACUGUCGGGCUUGAGUACGGAAGAGGCGAGUGGAAUUCCUGGUGUAGCGGUGAAAUGCGCAGAUAUCAGGAGGAACACCAAUUGCGAAGGCAGCUCGCUGGGACGUUACUGACGCUGAGACGCGAAAGCGUGGGGAGCAAACAGG